CUGGCUAAAGAAGAAAAGGGAAGAAAUUCAGCUAAAGGUUAUGUGCAAGAACAUGCUGAGUCCCAAACCGGAAUCAAGGAACCUACCAUUGAGUCCCAAACCGGAAUCAAGGAACCUGCAAAUGACUCCCAAACAGGAAUCCAGGAACUUACCGUUUCUUCUCUUCCCCCAAAAGCUUAACCUAAAGUAUUUUUAAAGUAAAUGCGCAAUUUACACUAGUUUGUUAUUUGAAUUGAGCAGGUCGAUAUAUAUGGUUGAUCAAGAUGUGUUAUACAUGGAAUAUUCUAUACGUUGGGACGUAAAAUAUUAUUACUGAAUUGGCUUGAGUUCAUAUGAUUAAUGAACUAGUCGCUUUUAAUCAUU
This 363-nucleotide long non-coding RNA is filed under the name Nicotiana tabacum (common tobacco). Its description in RNAcentral is "long non-coding RNA (NTAB_LNC018965)". Lineage: Eukaryota; Viridiplantae; Streptophyta; Magnoliopsida; Solanales; Solanaceae. The record is from RNAcentral.